Molecule: ribosomal RNA, 204 nt
Filed under: Triticum aestivum (bread wheat)
Lineage: Eukaryota; Viridiplantae; Streptophyta; Magnoliopsida; Poales; Poaceae
Description: partial small subunit ribosomal RNA
Source: RNAcentral
AUGGCCAUUGCUUUCCUGGUCCUUAUUAUGAUGUCUGCUACUACAUUGCCAUCCUGCCAUGCAAGAGUUGGCGAGCCAACAUGCGAGGAUCUGCAACAAGGAUGCUCUGUACCUGAUUGCAUGGAUUUAUGCAACAAAAAACACCUGGGUACCCAUACCUUCUAUUGCAACAACAUUGGUCAAUGUUGUUGCAAACGUCUAUAG